GGGUUUGGGCUUGGGCUCAGGUUUUGGCAUCGGCUUCGGCAUUGGUUUGGGCAUAGGUUUGGGAUCCGAUUUUGGGUGCGGCGUAGGUUCUGGUUUCGGCAUAGGUUUGGGCAUUUGCUCUGGUUUGGGUUUCGGCUCCAGGUCCGCAAACUUCUCGACGGCGGCUAGGCCCCGGCCAGCGGCGGCCGAUUGGUGGAAAGUGGAGGCUGCCACUACGCCGACGAGGAGCAUGAGCACGGCAUGGAGGCUAUGCCUCGCCAUUGCUGCCUGCUCCUUGUGCUCGCAGCUAGGGGUGCACUUGUUUCGCCGCUGCUGCUAGCCUGCGUGGAUGGAUGGAUGGAUGGAUGGGAUGGGUGUGCUCUGUGUGGAGAAGUGGAAGGUACACACGGUGUGGCUUUAUAGGGUGGAGGAGCCAAGCACACCCGGACGCGUGUGCCACAAUCCCUGUAAACCAGUGCCGUCGGUGGGAGCAUGGAUCGGCACAUCAACAUGUCUAACAGUAUUUCAACUCUGUUAGUUGCACCCGGCAGGCAAUCAGAAGCUUUUGUUAGUUGCCGUGUCCCUUGCUCACACCACACAUCCGUCUAUGUAAGGGCACCCAGGCCAUACCUAAGCUGUAUAGAUGUGAUAUGUAUUGUUGUGGCGUGCUGAGCAUGCAGUUGCCGGUAGGUACAGACCGACAUGCAUACAAACAUAUACUUCCUUCGUUUUUAAAUAUAAGUUUUUUUAGAGGUUUCAUUAAAAAACUACAUACGGAUGCACUGACGAAUCUUGAAAGAAAAUGAAGGAGGGGCUCAAUGUUAAAUGUACGUAGAAAAAUGCACUAACUUUUAGUUUUUAGUUCAAACAUUAUUAUUAUUUUUAUGAUGAAUACUACUAAAUAUUACUCCCUCCGUAAACUAAUAUAAGAGCAUUUAGAUCACUAUUUUAGUUAUCUAAACAUUCUUAUAUUAGUUUACAGAGGGAGUAUUUUUCAAUUUUUGGAGGGGGGCUCAAGCAUGUUGAAGCACCCCCUUGGAUUCGCCACUGUAUGAAUGUAUAUGUAUAGAUUCACUCAUUUUAUGUUGUACGUAAUGAAAUAUCUAAAAAGACUCAUAUUUAGAAACGGAGCGAGUAGUACAUAUGAUAAAGACAGUAGUGGAGUAACGUAAAUAGGGAGGGCCAGCUCUAGCUACGGGUAUCCUCUUGUCACAAGGACUAGUGUGGUGCACACGAUAAUGACUCCCCAUCCGUUUGCCAUAGCAUGCGUGCACCAUGGACUUUUCCACCCAUCACUCCCUCGCCAAUUAUUUUGAUUGUAUCAGUAGGGAAAUAGAUCCCAGCCCCGCGUAUGUUCUCAGUCGAUUAGCGUGGUUGGAGUGCCGUACGUACACCCUGCGGCUCACCCUUUCCUUUUUCUUUUACGUGUCAACCUGACACGUCUCUUUUACUAAUUUCUACGUACCUCGUCGACCCAACCAACAGAUCUAGUAAAUUUAAGCUAAGUGCAACAGCACUGCCUUCUUUCUUGCUGUUUUAAAGGUGGUGAAAACGCUGGCCACUGCGUUGACACACCCAUCUGUCGCGCGGUCUUCAUUCAUUAAGAGAGGAAAAACCCCAAUACAUCAUAAGAGCUGUAACAUCAUAAACAGAGAGUUUUUUACUAUACAAAUAUAGAAGAAAAAAAAGAGAACCGUUCCCCUUCUUCUCGAUCGCUACGAUUGAUUGAUGGUUGGUUGUCGCUUUGGAAAGAAGGGAACAACAAAAUUUCCAGUGUCAAGGUAUCUUGUGGAUAUUUUUAUCUUUUUUUUAGGGAAUGUGGACAUUUUUGGAUUUCAAAGGAAAUAGUGAAGCCUUUGAUCAUUUGACGGGGAGCUCCUAUCGGGCUCUUCAGGCGUCGGCAAAUACUACAGCCCGGCCCAUUAGCGUGCUCACUCCCCUCGGCCACUUCUCUCACUCACCUGCUGGCCAGCUAAAAUAAAAAACCAAAAAAGCAAUAGGUACUUGUUUAGUAAUCAAACCAACUUCAUAUUUUCUUAUAGAUUAAAAAACGCAUGCAUUCAAAUAAAGUUCAUUUAAGAGAGCAAGGCCCAUGCCUGGUGUCUGAGUACACUUCAUGCAUCUACAACACCAGACACAUACGAGCAAAUAACCCAAGACCACAUAAUACAAUAGAAAAAAUAAGAGGUAUAUACAUCAGUGGUGAUUGAACUUGCCACAGAUGUUCACUUUAAUACCUGAACUUGAAAAAUACGUCGAACUGGUUCUACAACUUGGCAUAGACGUGCAGAUACGGUGAUAAUCCAUUCAUAUACGUAAAGUGCGGCGACGUGGCACCGUAUAUAGGUUACAUGGCAUGAGGCCCAUUUAUACAUUCGAAACAUGAUUACUAGAUAAUAUAUGUCUAUGACUAAUGGGUCCCGCUUGUCAGGAAAAUUUAAAUGAAAAACAGCGACAAAACGUACUUGAACCAUCAAACCUCAAGCUAACGCGCAGCCGGUGCUUGCCACCAUGCAAACUACUUCCUCCGUCUCAGUUUACAAGUCCGCCACAUGUACUUAGGUCGUCAAUUUGACCAACUUAAUAAAAAGCAUAUAUAACAAAAAAUAUAUCAUUAAAACUUUAAAUAUUCUAUUUUUUAAUGAUACAAUUUUUAAGUUAAACAAUAUAUUUUAUAUAAGUCAAAUUGACGAUCUAGAUACACGUGCAUGCCUUCUAAACUGUGACGGAGGGAGUAGUAGAUCUUAUUGUCAGCAGUCGCUCCUUAAGCUUAAGAUAAAUGGAAACGGCUGGGGUCUUUAAAUGGAUUAUGAUCUUUGACUGUAUAUUUUAAAUGUUUGUAUCAAGUAACAUUUUUAAGCACUCAUGGAUUAUUUUUAAAAUAGUAUUUUAUGAAUAAUAGGUGAAUAUUUCAAAACAAUCACAUACACAUUUUUAGUAAAAUAUUUUACUGCAAACCACUAUAUUUAUUUUAUGUGCAUACGAAUAUUUGUGUACCAUGAGGUUAUUAUUAUGUACCACAAUAUUCAUAACCGACGUCCUGGUAUGGAGCCUUGUUUGUGUCUUUUUUAAGUAAUAGUAUAUGUACACACGGAUGUUUGUUGACUAUGAGGUAAUUAUUAAUAGCACAUGAAUAUUCAAACCUAACUUUUGUUAUUAUGAUUAUUAUUUACAUUUUUAUGGGUAAAACUAACUUUUGACCAUCAAAGUCCAUAGUUUGUGGGGUACAAACAGGGUCAUGGGGUUGAACAUAUUUCUUAUUUUCAAAACGAAUUAAGUUCAGCCCAUUUAAGUACCACAACUGUUUUCAUAUAGGCUUCAUUAAGCGUUGAGAGUUUUAUUUGGCAAAAAUACCAAGUUGGCGUGAUGGCCAGCAUAGGCUGCUAUUUAGCUUUAUUUUAGUCCUUUCUACACUGUUUUUCAUUUUAAUUCACGUGACAGGUGGGCCCGCUAGUCAUACAUACAUAUAAGUAUUCAAAUAUCAUGUUUUGUUGUUACAAGUGGACCCAUGCCUGCCACGUCAGCCAUCACUAGUAGGAAAAAUCUUAUAGGUAGGAGCCUAGUAGUAGCGCUGAAAAAUAGCAGGCGAUGCUGCUACUUAGCAGUAGCGCUGGAAAUACCACGCGCUACUGCUAACUACCUAGUAGUAGCGCUGGCUGCAGUUCCAGCGCUACUGCUAAACAGGGCCCAAUUAGGCCACCCGCAGUAUUUGUAGUAGUAGCGCUUGACUGUAAAAAGCGCUACUAUUACGUUCCAUAGCAGUAGCGCUUCCUUGGAAGCAACGCUACUGCUAAAUGGGGCCCAACGAGGUCACCAAUGUUGCACAUUAUAUAUCGUUGAAUUAAUCAACUUUCGAUGCAGGUACAUAGAUCGGAGAUGGCAAAGGGUUGCUACGUCGUAUUCAUUGGAAGGGUUCCAGGAGUGUACGACCACUGGCCAGAGCCCACGUGGACAGGUACCCGGGAGCUAGCCACAGAGGGUUCGAGAGCAGAGCCGAAGCGGAAAUGUGUUACUUGAGGUGGAUAAUGCUACGACAAGAGUCAGAGCGAAACCGGUGCCUCAAGAAGUACUACAUAGUCACGCUCUUGCUCAUGCUGACCGCUCUUNNNNNNNNNNNNNNNNNNNNNNNNCCGCUCUUCUCUUAUACGUGAUGGUUUAGAUAGGGACGAUGAAACUCGUGUGUGUGCCAUGACUCGUGUGUAUCGCUAUUUUCGAGAUUUGAUGAUAUUUGUGUUGGAUAAUGAUGAUGAUGAUGAUGAUGAUGGUAUAAAUGAAGAGACUACUUUAUGUGUAUGAUGUGAUGCAAAUUAUGCAUGUUUAUUAUGAUAUGAUGAAACCACUGUAUAGAACAUGCACAAAUACAUAGGGAAGACAUAAAUACAACGCGAAUUAAAUAUUAAAAACAUGAAUAUUAUCAAUAGCGCUGGAAUAUAAGCAGUAACGUUGUAUUAGCAGUAGCGCUUUAUUUAUACACACGCUACUGCUAUUGUGUAUACCAGUAGCGCUUCUAGUUUCAACGCUACUGCUAACAGAUUAGCUGUAGCGCGAUCGCAGUAGCGCUGGUGCCGGCGCUACUAGUAAGGAUAUAAUUAACGCUACCGGUAGCCAUUCUCCUACUAGUGCAUAUCCGGUGCCAUGUCGGCACACUUGACGUAUAUGGAUGGCAUUAGCAUCGUAUUUGUAUGUCUGUGCCAAGUUUUAGAACUAGUUUGACGUAUUUUUCAAGUUCAGGUACUAAACUAAACAUCUGUGGCAAGUUCAAACACCACUGGUGUAUUUACCUCAAAAAAUAACAAAGAUUGCAUCACAUAGAAAAAAACAACAUAGACUGCAGCCGACUGGACAAAAUCGCUCAUUCAUGCAAAUGAAUACAAUCAUGCAUUAAUACUCAAAAGAACAACGGGCCACAUACAAAGUAGAUGAACAUAUAGCAACAAGAAAAUAGUAAUCACAGAGUACUAAUUCUCAUCACACGUGUAUGGAACAAUAGAAAGAAAUUGAAUACAGGGAAUACUACACCACUUAUUCUAAUAAUAGCACACUGUGGCUCCGUAUUGGGUCUCCUCCGUCAAGUGUCGUAUAUAAGUAUCCCAUCAAUUAUGUGUUGCCGGUGGUUUGCACUUCGGAGGCGGCUUCGGUUUCGGUUCAGGUUUAGGCUUGGGCUCCGGCUUUGGUUCGGGUUUCGGCAUCGGCUCGGGCUUAGGACCUGGCUUUGGUUUGGAGCAGGGCUCGGGCUUUGGUUUUGGCAUUGGCUUGGGCUUGGGUUCUGGUUCGGGCUUCUCUCCGGGCUUUUGUUUAGGCUUUGGUUUGGGUUUUGGCAUCGGUUCAGGUUUGCAGGGCUCUGGCUCUGGUUGUGGCGCAGGUUUGGACAUUGGCUCUGGUUGUGGCGCAGGUUUGGACAUUGGCUCUGCUUUGGGUUCUGGCUUUGGCUCUAGCUCUGCAAAAUUCUCGACAGCAGCAAGGCCUCGGCCAGCCGCAACAACUUGGUUGAGAGUGGAGGCUGCAACUACCCCGAUGAGGAGCACGGCGAGGAGGCGAUGCCUCGCCAUUGCUGCCUACUUCUUGUGCUUGCAAGUUGUGUUGCACCUGUUGUGGUUUGUGUGUGUUUGUGUAUGUUGUGUGGAGAAUGGAGAUACAUAUGGUGUGGUUUUAUAGGCAGGGUGAAACAAAGCAGAUCUAGAUGCUGCAUUAAUUAACAUUGCAGCUAGCUAGCUGGAGUGACAAGUAGUACUGCGUAACAUGGCAAUGGAGCUAUAUUGGUCGAUUAGUUGAUUACAAAUGAAGCAACCAACGUAGCUAGAGGUGUUAAUAAGCACAGCUGGAUUUUGCGUGUGUGUCUCUAUGUGAUGAUAGUGGGGUGAGUAACAAUAUUUUUACUCUAUUGGUUGGCCUCCUGGUAGUAAUAGAAUCAUGUUAGUUGCCUUGUCAGUCCUGUUCACACGUCCAUGUGACCGGCCAUCAUUUAGAAAUCAAGAUCGAUGCUGUACACGUUAGUGCCAUUACAAAGUAGAAAAAGAAAAAGAAAAAAGCAACCGCUUCAGUUCAAUUCACAAUUCCAAGUUUUUGCGCACUCGUGUUUUCUCAAGCACUCUAUCUAGCCCGGUAUAGUUGGGCAGUUUCAGAAUUGUAGAUACCAAUGAGGAUUUUAUCAUGCUUAUUGUCUCAAAUUAUUAAAUCUUAUAACUCUCUGAUAAGCUAGGUUAUUUUGACGUUGCAUGCCCCUCAUUCUCCAGUCUCAUGCAUGCGUGUGCUUUAGACUUUAGUUAUGCAUGUAUGAUUUUCCAAAAAGGGUUUCAUGGAGACGGAGCUCCAAAACGAACUGGGUUGGUGAGUUUAGCACCGCCAUAUAUUCUGAUAGAGUAAGGAUUAUAUUGUGGUAAUGUUCUUUCCCUCCGUUUGUCAUAUUUUGAAUCAAGAGGGUUUCAUUGUAAUUCUUAGUUAUAGGAGUUAUUUUAUAAUUUCUUGUAUCUAUGAUCGAAGCAUUGUAUCUAUGAUUUUGUUGAGUUUGAAUAAAGUCACAUGCCCUUCUGAGCCACGCGGAAUACCGCACCACCAAUCGCGCUCACGCUUGAGACCGCCGUCGCCGGUGGCUGAUCUCCCUCCUCUGGUCGCCUCCGGCCCAGCCAAGUACAGAUCCGGGACCCUCCCGACGUCCUCUCUCCAGCCAUCCCGAAGUUUGGCACCGUCUUCACCGGUUCUCUCCCCGCUGAGCGGCUCGAGUUGGGCCCUCCACCUCUCCCGGUCCCGGUCACGUGCGGCUGCGCGGCCGCAUCGGGGCGCCCCUGUGGGCCCGAGCAAGCCCCCUGCGCCUUUCUAUUCUCUCGCCUCCGCCGAAGCCGUCGCGGGGCAAAAUCCUGGCAGCAGGACCCCUCGGUCAUCGUUCUCGAGCGUGGGGGCGGCGCUACUCCAGGCGGUGAUGCUCCGGUGUCAGGGGAUCCUUCCUUGGCUUGUGGAGCUGCGGUGGCGGCGGUGAGCCACAAUUUUGGAUGGCGGCGCGGCGCCGUCGUUUAGGCCGGUGUCUCCGGUGGUCGUGGAGGUGCUGGUCGUCCGGUUAGAGGUGACGAGGUCAUGGCUGAUGCUGGAGGAUGUGGCUGGAGCUGAUGCGGGGUGUGCCGUUGCUACUACGGGGCGGAUCUAGCAGGCUUGCCGUGGUGGGCGCCAGAUCCGACCGGUUUGGCUGGCUCCGGCUCGCCGGCUUUUGCAGGCGGUGAGGUUGAUGGCUCCUGCGUGAGGGUGGCGUCGUCGUCGCGUAGGAGGUGUGUGGUACAGCGGGCUUGCAGACCAGUGGUGAUGCGCCACCGGUUGCAUGUGUGGGGGGGGGGGCUCAGCGAGGUGGCUCCAGGCGAAAUCCUAGACGGCACGACGUCCGUGAACGUCGUUUUUCCUCCUUGGGGGUCGUUGUGGAGCCCUUCCUUGCCCAACACCUUCGAACCAUGGACGCCCCCCCUUGGGGGCGUUGCCUUGAGGGUCACUGGUCUCUUCCGUGCUUUCCGGAGCUGGACACACACGACAUCGGGGUCGGCAGGUACCCGUCUGGCGAUGUGGUUGGCGCGACUUCUUGUGUGGUGACGAUGGCGGCUUCAAGCGAAGUUGGUUUGCUGUUGAGUUUUGGUAGUCGGUCUCAUCCCGCGUGUUCGAGGGGUUGCCGCGCCUCACUUUGUCUUCCUGGAGUCGGAGCUGCUGAGGCGGGGCCUUGCGACGACGAUGACGCGAGGCGGGUGGUCGAUUGUGGCGCUGGCUCGGCUCAGGCUCAGUUGUUUUCUCCUACAAUGCUCGUCGACAGAGUUGGAACUGCUUGGUAGUUGGCGUGUGCGGUUGACUGUUUGGCAGUGGCCGGCAUGGGCCUCGGUGUUUGCUUGUGGUGAGGGCUGUUUUGAUGGUCAUCGAUGAUGUAGUCGGAGUCGCCCUUGUGUAGGUGUGAUGAUGAUGACACCGGGUUGCAGCCUCGACGGUGUUCUCUCUUCGGCGACGUGUGUGCGUUCUUAUGUGGGUUGUCACGUCGCCAUGCGUAUCCUGUAUGGACGUGGUGUAGCAGGUUUCACUCGGUUUUUCGUUAAUUAACCCAGCAAUUCUCUUUUUCUUAAUUAAUGGGAUGAGACAAUGCUUUUGCCUGCGUUUAAAAAAACACUAGCUAGCCGACAGUUUGUUCAAUGCGUGCUGUCAUUUUGCACAAAUGCCUAUGUCUCUACCUACUGUGAGGCGCUCACUUGUUGGGAUGUGGUGCGGGCUGUGGUCCGGUUGCGGUGGAGGAGUAACAUUAGUUUGUUUCGUGCAAUUUUCAAAACAUUUCGUCGGAGUUUUUUUCCUGUUUUCUUUAUUGGGUUUCUUUUUUUUCAUUUUCCCUUUUACUUUUUCUGUUCAUUUAUUUCAUGUAUUGUUUUGUAUUUUAUUUUUCCAUAUUUCAAAUACAGCUUGAUUUUUUUUUCAAAAUAGUAAACAUUUUAAAGUAACCAUAGAAUAUUUUCUAAUACAUGUUUGAACGUUUUAUAAGUACAUGGUGAACAAUUUUUAUAUACAAUGAAUAUUUCUCUAAAAACUGCAAGAACACAUUCUGUUUAUUUAAUGAACAUUUUUAUAUUGCCAUGACCAAUUUUAUAAACAUGCGAAAAAAAUUAAAAUGUAGUGUUUUUUUGGAACAAUGCGAAUAUGAAUUUUAAAACUCUGGAAUAAUUUUUAAGACAAGUUGACAUUUUUUAUUUUUUUACGAGAAAACUUCGGAUGUAUUUAUCCAUUGUCAUGUUAGUAUAAGAAUACCAGAACUAACAUAACUUACAUUCAGAUCCAUAGACCAUCUAACGAUGUCUACAAUCACUUGAUCAAGCCGAAAGUGCACCAUGAUCCUCACUCCUCCCUCAUCGGAGUCGGACAAUGUCCAGUCAUGUUUUUUUUACAAACUGUUAAUCAUGUAUGAAUUUUUCUAUUGUGUAUUUCAAAAUUAUCAUGGAUUUUUAAAAAAUAUUGUGCAUUUUUAGAAAAACUGUUAUUUCAAAGGUUCAUCAUGUAUGAAAAGAAAUCUUCAUCAUAAAUUGUUCAAAUUGUCCACAGUGUAUAAAUUCAGAAAAAUAUGAAGACUUUUUAAUUCUAUGUGUAUUUGAAAAAUGUUUAAUAUUUUGAAACGUUUUAUAAAUACACGAUGAAUAUUUUUAAGUAUAUUAACAGCUAUUAUACUGCAUGAUCACCUAUCAAUAGUACAAACCCAUAUAUUUUAUACGCGAUGAAAAAAUCUGUUAAUAAUAAUUUUCAUGGUGCCUUUUCUUGGAAAUCUUGACCUAGGGUGUAGUUACCUUUCACACAUAUCCGAUAUAUAUUUAAGUAAGUCAUCCCAUUUAAAUGCACAUGCAUGUCAAUCACAUUAUGAAGGGUAUGCAACCAAUAAACUUCCACUUACCACUUUUCAUCACAUGCAGGUCCUCGAUAUCAUCAAGCGUGCAUGUAAUCAUUCGACGUUUCACUUCUCAUCAUAUGCAAGUUCCACAUCAUCAAACACAUGAAAGCUCUUCACCUCAUUAUUUUUUACUAUUUAUUUUUUAGCAACAAAUAAUUGAACUUGAAGGUCACAAGAAAAUAUAUUAUGCGUGCACCCUCUAGUUACAUCUAGGUUUUCUAUUGCCAUAUGCUGAGAAUGUUGUGUGGUAUUAUUCCUACAUAUGCUAUUUUUCAUAAUUUCAUUGCUAUAAAUUUUCGUGACAAUGUGUGUGACGUUUACCUAGUAGUAGCAGAGCCAGCUUACUCACACAGCCUGGGCAUAAAUAUAACAGCGUGCCUAGAACUUAUCUAGACCAGAUAUAAUUUAGUCGCAUUCAUCUAGAAAAUCAAAACAGAUACAAAGUAGUACUACAACUCACGUCGGCACACGCACAUCUUAUAGUCACAUCCAAUGACUAUAAAAGAUGAACGAGACAUAACUAAAAUUCAGUUAGAUGAGUUUUAGCAAAACCGUAAAUAUAACGCACUCGGUCGGGACUUACUUCGUAGGUGAAGGGUAGAGAAGAAGGCCACUGUCUUGCGUGUGAGUGCACUUUAUACAUCUAGAACACCAGACACGUAUACAUAUGUGAUAUGUCUGCUGCUAGGAAGUCAUUCUCUUCUCUUUUGUUGACAUUAGCUUUCCCCCCAAAAAAGACCAUAUAAUAUGAAACAAUCACAUAGAGAGAAAAUAACAGGGACUGCACCCCAUAGAGAAAACAACAUAGACUGCAGUCCACUGACAAAAUAGCUCAUUUAUGUUUUGUUGUUUGGAAAAGGAGGUUCAAACCCCCGGCCUCUGCAUCAAUCGAUGCAUACGGUAGCUCAUUUAUGUGAAUACAAUCAUGCGUAGAUACUCCAAAGAACAACAAGUCGAGUCACAAUGUCCCAUACAAAGUAGAUGAACAUAUACCAACAAGCAAAUACUAGUAAUUACAGAGUACUAGUACUCAUCACGCGUAUAUGGAAAAAUAGAAUGAAAUGGAAUACAGGGAAUACUACUACACCACUUAUUCUAGAAAUAGCACAGUGGGGCUUGGUACGGGGUCUCCUCCUCCAUCAACUCUCAUAUAUAAGUAUCCCAUCAGUCGUGAGCUGCCGGUGGUUUGCACUUCGGAGGUGGUUCAGGUUUAGGCUCGGGCUCCGGCUUUGGUUCGGGUUUCGGCAUCGGCUCGGGCUUAGGAUCUGGCUUUGGUUUGGAGCAGGGCUCAGGCUUUGGUUUUGGCAUUGGCUUGGGCUUGGGUUCUGGUUCGGGCUUCUCUCCAGGCUUUUCUUCAGGCUUUGGUUUCGGCAUCGGUUCAGGUUUGCAGGGCUCUGGCUCUGGUUGUGGUGUAGGUUUGGACAUUGGCUCUGGUUUGGGUUCUGGCUUUGGCUCUAUCUCUGCAAAAAUUUCGACAGCAGGAAGGCCUCGGUCAGCCGCGGCAGCUUGGUUGAGAGUGGAGGCUGCAACUACCCCAAUGAGGAUCAUGGCGAGGAGGCGAUGCCUCGCCAUUGCUGCCUACUUCUUGUGCUUGCAGCUAGUGUUGCACACCUGCUGUGCUUUGUGUGUGGUUGUGUGUGUUGUGUGGAGAACUGGAGAUACAUAUUGUGUGGUUUUAUAGGCUGGGUGAAACAAAGCAGAUCUGGAGGCUGCAUUAAUUAGCAUUGGUUGAUUAGUUGAGUACAAAUGAAGCAACAACCAACGUAGCUAGAGGUGUUAAUAAGAACAGUUGGAUUUUGCCUGAGUGUGUCUCUAAUGCGAUGAUAGUAGGGUGAGUAACAAUAUUUUUACUCUAUUGGUUGCCUCCCGGUAGUAAUAGAAUUCUGUUAGUUGCCUUGUUAAUCUUGUUCACACGUCCUUGUUAGUUGCAUCAUUUAGAAAAAUCAAGAUCGACAGUGUACACGUUAGAGUAAUGCACUACAAGUAAAAAAGCAAUCGCUUGAGUUCAAUUCACAAUGAAAAGUGAAGGUAGUCUUUGAAGAGGAACUGGCUUGAUCGUACGUGCACGUCGUGUGUGAGCUUCACCACCUGUUGGAAACCCUCAAGACUCCUUGGUCUGCUUCCUCGACCGAGUUUUCACGAACUCUGCUGUGUUUUCUCAAGUGGUUUUCAAGAAGGUGGCGUUGGAUUAAUCCAUGCACAAGUUUUGCCAGAUUAUGCUGAAUGAUAUAACAAAAGUGAAGGUGUACAUCAUUUGAUGUCGAUGACGGGGUUCCUCCUUUAACAAAUAAGUGUUUUCUCAAACACUCCCUCUGGCCGGUAUACUGGGCACAGUUCCAAAAUUGUAGAUAUCAAUGAGGAUUUUAUCACGCUUAUUGUCUUAAAUUAUUAAAUCUUAUUAACUCUCCGACAAACUAAGAGCAACUCUAACAGAUCGUGUAUUCUAUGAAACUGUAGAUGUGAUUUAUAGUUCGCACAGCAGGAUCUAUACAGGCUGAAAAUUACAGCGGUAGAAUAGAAACCGUAAAAGAAACUCAAAUUUGCUUGUUGGCUUGAUGACGUGAGUCUCGCCGCCUCCUUCUCCCCUAAUAAUAAAGCAACUAACGCUUCGGUCGUCCGUCGUCGCCGAUCGCAGGACGUUUUGCAGAAAGGCUCCUAAGGUUUUAGGUAUUCAACCCGCGGUCCCUUUUAAGUGGUAUCUGAGAAAACGUUUCAGUUUUGCAAAUUAACCACUGCAUCUCGUGAGAAUUCGAUCCGCACUCCUUUGUUCUAUCUUCUCUAGUGGUGGAGAAGGUGGAAGGGGAAUAACUUCAGCUCGGCUCGUCGGCGAGCGUGUUGCAGGAGGCCGACGAGGAGGCCAGUGGGCGUUGUGCGCUUACAGGGGAGCGGGUAGGCCGGAGGUGGAGGGGAUGGCCGGAGGCUGAGGGCAGUGGAGAGAGAGGCCGAGAGAGUCGGCCCGAGGGAGGGGGGACUGAGAGAAAGAGAGAGAGAGUGUGUGUGUGAGCCGGAGAGGGGCGGUCGCCGGAGCCGGACCUCCAGAACAACGACGCAACAAUCUGGAUGGCACAACGGCUUUGAUCCCGGAGAAUGGUGAUUGAUGGCUGCCAACAGACGGAUCCGGGCGAAGGAGGCUCUGAGAGGCGCAUGGAAGGCUGUCAAGGUUGGGGGCGCCGGAUCCAGAGUUCGCAUGGUGAGAGAUGGGGAGAGGGUAGAAUCUUGCUAGUAUAAGACGAGUUAGAGAAGCGGCAACGCCUGCAGAACAGAGCAUGAAGGCAGCUCCUUUUGAGGAGGCGACGACGGACGACAGAGCUCGUGACUGCGACCUUCUCGGCUCCUGCCGGCGUGGUCACUCAAUUCGCUCCACGGCGCGAUGGCCCAUUGCCGGCAAGGCAGCGUUCUGCAACGCACCAGCCUGCAAUGGAGGCGGUGUCCAUGGUGCAGCCGUGGCCUUCAGCGCACACCGCGGGGGAAGUGCUACCGGACACCGGCUUGGCCCCGAUGCUGCUCCUCCCAGACGGUGGUACCCAUGGCCUGGCCCACUAGCCCCCGACUGAGCUCCCAGCAGAGGCGCACAUCGAUGGAGGCUUCGAGCAGGCCGCUCUGCCAUGCUUGUGCAAUGGGGGUCUGCCCGCGUGCUGGGGUGGGGAUGCACGGAUGGACAGAUCCUGGCAGUGGCUGCCACGGUGGCCGGGCACUAAGUACCGGAGUGAUUCGUGGGUGCAGCACGGACAGCUGUUGUGAGGAGCACAGCCAGGCAUCAGCGCUGGUCUCCUCUUCUCUGUAGCUGCAGGAGGAAUGGUGAUGUUUUGGAUAAGGGUCACGUAGUGCGCAGUUAGGUGAAGAUUUAGUGCCUAUUGCUAUUUUUUGAUCAAUAGUUGUUGGUAGAUGUACACGGACUUAAGCUGCUGGAUACUUCGGUGCUCAUCCCGUUGGAUUUAUAUGCGAUUGUUCGUGACGUUCCAACAAAUUGUUAUUUGCUAGAUGUUCUUUUUCACAUUAGUUCAUUAUAAUUAUUUGAUUGUACCGCCUUAUAGAGCAUCUACAACCGGACUUAACAAAUCUGACCUCUCAAACGUUCAUGGAAACGUCCGGACGCAUCUGCGGACGUUGAUCAAUUAAGCCUCAAAUAACGAAUUCUACAACCGGAUACUUUAAAUUAGAAACCUCAAAUAUAUAUUAUUACAUGCAACAUAAAUCUAAUAUUAAGCGUGGCUCGUUUGGGUCCGCCCUGUCCAUGUCGAAAGGCUAGAUAUGCCCUUCAUAGUGUCCGUCCGAUCGUUAGCAAGGUAGAGUAGGACAUGGGACACUGGCCGGUUCAUGGAAGUCGAGUUUCCGUCGUCUUCCAUGCCCAAUUCUUCCUUAAAUUUAUCACUUAGUGUUACUACAGAACAAUCCAACCGUCAACUGCAAAGUUAGUAUACGGAACUACAUGAUCAGCUUCAAGGAGCAUGUCUACGUGCUCCAACACUAGCGCAUUCAUGAAUAUUUGUUUAUAAUUUGUACAAAAACUUAUUUGGACUUAUUUAAAAUUGUAAACAUUCUAAUGAUCCUAUUUUAUAAUGUUUGUAUAAGUAAAAUCAAAUUUCAUGGCUAAAAGAAAUACUCAGUGUAACCUUACUUCUAAAGCUUGCAAAAAUUAGAUUAAAAUAAUAUUGCAUAAUGACACAGGAAGAAAAUUAUAUUUAACAUUUCGGCCGGUGCAACGGCACGGGCAUUUGUAUUAGUAGAUGUCUAUGACAGCAAGGCACGAACUUGUCACUCCCCGUAGGCAUAUUACCAGUGCCACCCAUUCGUCGAAGCAUGUUAAAUGUUAGCGCACUAAUUUAUAAAAAAAUAAUUUGUGCAUUUACUUUUGUUGUCAGUUUUAGGAUUAAUAUAAUGUUGCUUAAAAAUAUUUGUCGGGUGCUGAAAAAAGGGGAAAAGGACGAUCAAUUUGCCAACUUCACACAAGGGCUCUCAAAAUCAUAGAGCCGACCCUGCCAGCACCAUGUGACUUGUGAGAGAUUAUUAUGGCUUCUCGUAUGUUGUGUAGCACUAUCAUUAAGAGCAAUUCUAGCAGACCCUGCAUCCGCCCCCGAUCUGCAAAAUAACCGCUAAAAUGCGGGUACGGACCGAAAAGCCUGUCCGACCAGACCCUGCAUCCCAUCCCGGCCCGUAAAUUUUUUUCAGGGGCGCGGCAAAUUCUCGACCCCAACCCGGGAAAACACGGGUUUCCCCCUCGCGGCUGCGGUGCCCUGCAUCACAGAGAAGCAGUUGGCGGGAGGGACAUUUCAGCCCGUGCUCUUUUCCCCCUCCUUCCGCCGCCGCCCACCCUUGCUUCCGCUCGCCCGCCGCCGGCGAUUCCGGCCAUAUCUGCAGGCGAGCCGCUGCAUCGCCCCUCCAGAUCCGGCGAGAAGAGUCGCCCCCCCCCACCGCCGGGGAUCGACCACCGUCAAGCGCACCCCCUCGUCGCCGCCCGGGAUCACCCGCCACCGGUUAGUCCCCUUUUUGCGAUUUUUGCGAGCUGUGCGAGAAGAUGGAGUUGACCCCGUGCGAGAAGUUUUUACUAUCCGAUUCGUCCGAUUCGGACGACUCGUAUGUUGAGACCAUGCUUGCGAUCUUUCGGCAGCAAACAUUAGUCAUGGCGCUUGCCGUGAAGGAGCAUGAAGACGAGCACUGGAAGAGGAGGCGAGGAUCGAUUGUCGGGCGCUUGUGCAUUCCUCGAAAUCGCCAUCUUGGGAACGAGAUGUUGAUGCAAGACUAUUUCGCGGAGAAUCCUACAUAUCCUCCGCACCUCUUCCGGAGAAGGUACCGAAUGCGCCGAUCCCUCUUUGUGAAACUUGUUCAAGCUUGCGAGGCAAAUUGCCGGUAUUUUACUCAAAGAAGGAAUGUCGCGGGCUGAAAGGCUUGGUUGUUGUUGUUGUUGUUGUUGUUGUAAGGAAUGCUGCGGGCUUAAAGGGAUUUAGUGCAUAUCAAAAAAUCUCCGCACCUAUGGGGGGUGAUUGCAUAUGGCGUUCCGGCUGACUAUGCCGAUGAGUAUCUUCGUAUUGGUGAAUAUAGCACAAUUGAGUCUGUGCGUAGAUUUGCGAAAGUGAUCAUCCGUGUCUUCGGUCCUGAGUAUCUUCGGGCACCCAAUGAAGGACACAAAGAAAUUGAUGGCAUCUGAUGAGAGGAGAGGUUGGCCUGGCAUGCUAGGUAGCAUUGAUUGUAUGCAUUGAAAUUGGAAAAAUUGCCCCAAGGCUUGGCAAAGAAUGUAUUGUGGCAAGUCUAGUGAUGCAACAAUUGUGCUAGAGGCCGUAGCAUCUGAAGAUUUAUGGAUUUGACAUUGCUUUUUUGGUAUGUCGGGAACUCUCAAUGAUAUCAUUGUGUUGCAACGGUCUCAUUUAUUUGCUAGGCUUGCUAGUGGUGAUGCUCCUGCUUGCAACUACAUUAUCAAUGGGCAUGAAUACACAAAGGGGUACUAUCUUGCAGAUGGUAUGUACCCUCCUUGGUGCACAUUUAUCAAGAGCAUCAAAGAACCCAAAACAAAAAAACAAUGUGAAUUUGCAAGGGUGCAAGAGGCAGCCCGCAAAGACAUUGAAAGAGUAUUCGGUGUUUUGCAAUCUAGGUUUGCCAUUGUCCGUGAUCCUGCUCGUUUUUGGGAUAAGAAAACCUUGAAGAACAUCUUGACAUGUUGUGUUAUCCUGCACAAUAUGAUUCUUGAAGAUGAGAGAGGAUUGGACUUAGAAUUAUUUUACGACAAUGUGGGUAGCCGUGUUUAACCAGCUAGAGACCCAAACCACAUUAGAGAUUUUCUUCAGACAUACAAGGAGAUUGAAAAUGCAGACACGUACUUUCAACUUCAGGAAGAUCUCAUUGAGCACCAUUGGCAAAGGGCUGGACAGUGACUUAUUUUUGUAUUCAUUUGUAUUUGCAUUCAUGACAAGUUUUGUAUUGCACUAUUUAAGUUUGCUACGGUUAUUUGAAUAAUUAUUUAUAAUGCGGAUGAUUAUUGUAUUAUGUUUGAUUCGAAUAAUUUAGUUUGUUUUCGAUUGUUGAAUUAUGUUGUAUUUGAUACUUGCGGGUUGAUGAUAUGCGGGAUGUAGCGGCGCAAAGAGCAGACCCCGCAAAGCCGACCCGUUAAAAAGUAUAUUCCACGAAUGUAUUUUUUUACGGAUCCGUUUGGGGGGUCUGCAUAUGUGUCAGCCUGCAAAAGCUGUUUUGCGCGAACUGCAAACGCGUGUUGUGGACCGGCGGGAUGUGGGGUCUGCUAGAGUUGCUCUAAGAGAUUUUUCUUCGUGCGAACUGAGUAAGAGAAAAUCUUUUAAAAUAACUUUCAUGGUGCCUUUUCUUCGUAAUCUUGACCUAUGGGGUGUAGUUACACGUAAUCUUUGUAAUCUUGUUGGCAGCGCAGGUGGUGGCGGCAACGCAGGACGGCCGGCGGGCGAACGGGACAGAGCAGCAUCGAGUGGCCACCCCUAGGAUUGAUUUGGGGACGUUGUUGGAUGGUCUCACAUGUCAGAUCCAGACCCACAUCCAUGCGGUUCCACAUGUAAGAUCCGGACCCACUAUCACUAACGCCGGCGGACGGAAUGGACUCAAAACUGCCCGUUUGGCCUCGUCAUAGUAGUUGCGCACGGGCUAGAGGCAAAACUGAGCACGAUUUGCAACUGAGGGCAAAAGUGAGCAUAUGGACACCACUGAGAACAAAAAGAUAAUUAUCCCUAUUAAAUAGUGGUGCUUUUUCUACGAAUAUAAUCAAUUCCAUAAUGCUAUCCGCUUUGACCAUCCUAUUACCCUAAAUGGAAAGCAAAGUAGGUUAUUCAGCACACCAUAACUUCGUUCCUUGGUUGACUGCCUGGCCUUCAAGAAACUAGAAAAAAUGUAAUAACUCACUUCACUAUGAGCGGCUCCCUCCCCACCAAUUGGGUAGAUGGAAGCUAUAUACGUAUAGAAAAAAGUAAACCACAAUGAGAAACAUACUUGCCCCAUUAGCAUCCAUAUGACGGAGCAACCAGCCCCCUUCAACAUCUUUCAUAAUGUGUUCUACGCUGUUGAAAGCUAGAUCCACAUGAGGUGUGUGAUGCAUAAUACACCUCAAUGUGUGCUGCUAUUUAGGGAGUCCUUCUCGGGAGGGGCGUUUUGGCUCCCGGGUACAAAUGCUCCUGGGUGAACAGUAACGCAAAAAUUAUUAGAAAACAAUUUAAAAAAAUCUGAAUUUAUUUGUGGGUGUUCGUGUUAGUGUCACAAACAUGCCUGCCAAAUUUCAUGCAAAACGAAGCAGUGCUGCUUCGUCGGUGAAAAAAACAAAUUUGGAUGACAUUUUGAGAUAACAUUUGGUGUUUUAGUUUGUUUUUUCUUUUACACGGGCAAAAAAAAUUAAGCUUUUUGCCUAAAAAAUUUCAGGUAGCAUUUGGAUGUGAGAAAGAACACAUAAAAAUUGUGUUAUGAUUAUUUGACAUUUCAAAAAUUAUUUUCCAUAGGCAGGUGCACGUGCACCCAGGAGCCGAAUUGCAUUUCCGGUCCUUCUCUUCUUUUUAGUUGGCAUCAUCUUUGCCCCAAAAAAGACCACAUAAAAUGAAACAAUCCCUUUUAGAAAAUAACUGAGGCUGCACCACAUAGAGAAAACAACAUAGACCGCAGUCCACUUAUAAAAUAGCUCAUCCAUGUAAAUGAAUACAAUCAUGCGCAGAUACUCAAGAGAACAACAAUUCGACUCACAUACAAAGUAGAGGAACAUAUAUCAACAAGCAAAUAAUAAUUACAGAGUACUAAUACUCAUCACACGUGCAUGGAACAAUAGAGAGAAAUGGAAUACAAGGAAUAUUACACCACUUAUUCUAGAAAUAGCAAAGUGUGGCGUAUGGGGUCUCCUCCAUCAACUGUCAUAUAUAGGUAUCCCAUCAAUUGUGUGCUGUCGGUGGUUUGCACUUCGGAGGCGGCAUCGGUUUCGGUUCAGGUUUAGGCUUGGGCUCCGGCUUUGGUUCGGGUUUCGGCAUCGACUUGGGCUUAGGCUCUGGCUUUGGUUUGGAGCAGGGGACGGGCUUGGGUUUUGGCAUCGGCUUGGGCUUGGGUUUUGGUCCAGGCUUCUCCCCUGGCUUUUGUUCAGGCUUUGGUUUGGGUUUGGGCAUCGGUUCAGGUUUGCAUGGCUCUGGCUCUGGGUGUGGCAUAUAUUUGGGCAUUUGCUCUUGUUUGGGUUCUGGCUUUGGCUUUACCUCUGCAAACUUCUCGACGGCAGCAAGGUCUCGCCCAGCCGCAGCUCCUUGGUUGAAGGCGGAGGCUGCAACUACCCCGACGAGGAGCACGGCGAGAAGGCAUUGCCUCGCCAUUGCUGCCUAUUUCUUGUGCUUGCAGCUAGUGUUGCACCUGCUGUGUUCUGUGUGUGCGCGCGCGUGUGUUGUGUGCAUAACUGGUUGUACAUAUUGCGUGAUUUUAUAGGAUGGGUGAAACAAAGCAGAUCUGGAGGCUGCAUUAAU
RNAcentral lists this long non-coding RNA (18798 nucleotides) under Hordeum vulgare. RNAcentral's name for it is "long non-coding RNA (HVUL_LNC013806)". Lineage: Eukaryota; Viridiplantae; Streptophyta; Magnoliopsida; Poales; Poaceae. The record is from RNAcentral.